UACGGAGGGGGCAAGCGUUGUUCGGAAUUAUUGGGCGUAAAGGGCGCGUAGGCGGCGAGGUAAGUCAGACGUGAAAUCCCUCGGCUUAACCGAGGAAUUGCGUUUGAUACUGCCAUGCUUGAGGCCAGGAGAGGAGAGUGGAAUUCCCAGUGUAGCGGUGAAAUGCGUAGAUAUUGGGAGGAACACCGGUGGCGAAGGCGGCUCUCUGGACUGGUUCUGACGCUGAGGCGCGAAAGCUAGGGGAGCAAACAGG
Molecule: ribosomal RNA, 253 nt
Filed under: uncultured bacterium
Lineage: Bacteria
Description: partial 16S ribosomal RNA
Rfam family: Bacterial small subunit ribosomal RNA
Source: RNAcentral